Molecule: small nucleolar RNA, 67 nt
Organism: Sarcophilus harrisii (Tasmanian devil)
Lineage: Eukaryota; Metazoa; Chordata; Mammalia; Dasyuromorphia; Dasyuridae
Source: Ensembl
CCCACUAGUGAUGAGAUUAAUACCGCCCCAGUCUGAUGACUGUGACUGAUAGGUUGUUCUGAGUGGC